RNAcentral lists this ribosomal RNA (253 nucleotides) under uncultured bacterium. Its description in RNAcentral is "partial 16S ribosomal RNA". It matches the Rfam family "Bacterial small subunit ribosomal RNA", at positions 524 to 776 of the family's 1533-position model. The record is from RNAcentral.
GACAGAGGGUGCAAACGUUGUUCGGAAUUACUGGGCGUAAAGCGCGUGUAGGCGGCUAAGUAAGUCGGGCGUGAAAUCCCACGGCUCAACCGUGGAAGUGCACUCGAAACUGCAUAGCUAGAGUCCUGGAGAGGAAGGUGGAAUGCUUGGUGUAGAGGUGAAAUUCGUAGAUAUUAGGAAGAACACCAGUGGCGAAGGCGGCUCACUGGUCCGGUACUGACGCUGAGGUGCGAAAGCGUGGGGAGCAAACAGG